Molecule: long non-coding RNA, 586 nt
Filed under: Cyanistes caeruleus (blue tit)
Lineage: Eukaryota; Metazoa; Chordata; Aves; Passeriformes; Paridae
Description: lncRNA (ENSCCEG00000019588.1)
Source: RNAcentral
UUCUUCUGCUCACUUCUCCUAGGAUCUUCAGCUCCAUCAUGUGAACUUUGCAGCCAAACCCACCGUGGACCUCACCAUCCUCAAACAGGUUUUCCUGUUUAUGAGGUAGGAGGUCCAAGAGUGAUUGUUCAGCCUGCAGAACCAAGUCACCUCCUGGCUAACCUGCUGAUCACAGCUUUGAGUCUUCCAGCAGAAGGUUUUCCAUCACUUUUCAACUUCAGAGUAUAUGAAAACCAAUGAGGCCUGUGUUCUUCUAAUCAUCCCAUGGAAGCUCGAAGGUGUUCCUGUUCCAGCUGCUUUUGGGAGGAGGAUGCUUUGGACUGAGCACGUUUCUUUAUAUACCCCUGGACAUUUUUAAAGGAAGGAAUGUGGGUUGUAUUUGUGAUCUGAGAAAUCACAGUGUUCUCAUUGGCCUCUCUGGGGAUUGUUCACCAAUGCUUUCUUUUCUCUGCCAAACUUAAACAUUUCUCCUGAGGAAACAUUCAGUUUCUAAAUCUGCAUAAUCCUGCCUUGGUAAGUUCAUAAAAAAGUCUGGUUUAGCCUUACUUCUUUCAAUGGCUGGGAUUUUUUUGAGGAAAGUCAAGUC